UUGCGUUAAGGAUUGUAAUGGCAUCCUUUUUUCUUUUUCUGAAAAAAGAUAUAAUGGAAAGCCUGUUAAAAC
RNAcentral lists this small RNA (72 nucleotides) under Polaribacter sp. KT 15. RNAcentral's name for it is "Flavo-1 RNA". It matches the Rfam family "Flavo-1 RNA". Lineage: Bacteria; Pseudomonadati; Bacteroidota; Flavobacteriia; Flavobacteriales; Flavobacteriaceae. The record is from RNAcentral.